Molecule: small RNA, 116 nt
Filed under: Marmota monax (woodchuck)
Lineage: Eukaryota; Metazoa; Chordata; Mammalia; Rodentia; Sciuridae
Source: RNAcentral
ACUGGGCCCACUGGCACACACCUGUAAUCCCAGCUACUCAGGAAGUUAAGGCAAGAGAUUGUUUGAGCCCAGGAGUUCAAGACCAGCCUCAGCAAUACAGGAAGACCCUGUCUCAA